UAAAAUUAGGAUUAACUGCAUUUGGGGUAAAAUCAACUUGCGAAUUAAGGGCGAUUUAGGGUUCAACAAUCUGGUUCAGCAACCCAAAUUUUGAUUCCUGGUGAAAUUGCGUUCAUGGUGUAAUUGAAUUCGUGGUUUGCUCAAGAGUGUGGUUCGUUCAACAACGAAUGGGUUUUCUGGCCAUUCGUGCUGCGCUGCAGUUAGCAAAGUUGUUGUUCCAAAAUUUAAAAGCAAAGGGUUAGGGUUAAGAAUGACUUCUUCACAAAGUUGUUCUUCUUGUUUGAAGACAUGGGGCAAAGGAUUUUCACAUUCCUCACAUCGUUGUAACGAAAGUUGCCAUAACUACAAGGAAUGUUUUGAGAAUUUUGAAAAUUUUAUGUGUUCUUCAUGUAGAGGCCGAUUAUCAGUUUCUACUGUAAUUAAAAUGAACAAUCUGGGUUCGUGUAAAAAAGUUCGUUUUAGUCCCCCCAAUGGUUUAAAAAUGUUAAAUGUGGUCCCCCUUUUCUUUAAAAAUUGUGCAAUGUGCUCCCUAACGUAUAUGGCUAUCAUACAUAUUAAGG
Molecule: long non-coding RNA, 560 nt
Filed under: Vigna radiata
Lineage: Eukaryota; Viridiplantae; Streptophyta; Magnoliopsida; Fabales; Fabaceae
Description: long non-coding RNA (VRAD_LNC009063)
Source: RNAcentral